GGACGUCGAAGACGUCACUUCCGAGUUGCCGCCAUUUUGUGAUCGGCGCCAUUAGUCUGUGCGGCUCGGAAUAAAUAAAGAUCUAGAAAUCUAACCCGAGAAGAAGUUCUCGUGUGUUUAUUUUUUAUUUAUUUAUUUAGAAUAUAUCUCUGCUUUACUCGACAUUAAACACCUUAACAAGCCACAGAACGACCGCUAUGUCCGAGGAGCAACACGUCGGAGAGGAGGCGGUGUUGAAGAUGGAGGAGGCGGCGGCAGACAGCUGCGGAGAGGUUCAAGCAGUGGUGGAAAGCGCCUCCGGAGACUCGGAGGGAGCCAAAAUCGAUGCCAGUAAAAACGAAGAAGACGAAGGGAAAAUGUUUGUAGGUGGGCUCAGCUGGGAUACCACAAAGAAGGAUCUAAAAGAUUAUUUUUCCAAGUUUGGAGAAGUUGUAGACUGCACACUAAAAUUGGAUCCCAUCACUGGAAGAUCGCGGGGAUUUGGCUUUGUAUUAUUUAAAGAAGCAGACAGCGUCGAUAAGGUGAUGGAGCAAAAGGAACACAAACUAAAUGGAAAAGUCAUCGAUCCUAAAAAAGCAAAGGCAAUGAAAACAAAAGAACCUGUUAAGAAGAUAUUUGUUGGAGGCCUUUCUCCAGAUACACCUGAAGAAAAAAUUAGAGAAUAUUUUGGUGGUUUUGGAGAGGUGGAUUCAAUAGAGUUGCCCAUGGAAAACAAGACAAAUAAAAGGCGAGGGUUCUGCUUUAUAACAUUUAAAGAAGAAGAACCUGUGAAGAAGAUCAUGGAAAAGAAAUACCAUAAUGUUGGACUAAGUAAAUGUGAAAUUAAAGUUGCCAUGUCCAAAGAGCAGUAUCAACAGCAACAGCAACAGUGGGGAGGCAGAGGUGGUUUUGCAACAAGACCACGUGGAAGAGGAGGUCCAAGCCAAAAUUGGAACCAGGGGUAUGGAAACUAUUGGAAUCAAGGAUAUGGCAACUAUAAUUACAGCUAUAAUAACCAAGGCUAUGGAGGAUAUGGCAGCUAUGAUUACCAUGGUUAUAACAACUACUACGGAUAUGGUGACUACAGCAAUCAGCAGAGUGGUUAUGGCAAAGCUCCACGGCGAGGUGGUCACCAAAACAGUUACAAGCCAUACUAAAAUAUAUUCCCUACUUUUUAUAAGCAGCGGGAACUUCAUUGCAGGCCAUGUGUCACGCUGACUUCACGAUUCUCACAGGCCCGCUCAAUGCGGACAGGGUACGAGAUGCUCACGCUCUCGAAUGCUGCCAUUUGGUGAAGGAGCAGUAUUUCACAUCAUGCAGAAGAUCCUCAAAGGAGGUUUUUAGACUAGACUGACUUUUUUUUGUCAUUUUUGUGUUUCGUUUGGCCUUGUAUGUUUCACUCAAGUCUUUGUUUAUUUGUGCACUUAAUUUUUUAAUUUUAAUAUAAUACUUUUAUUUCCUUAUUGCAAACACUAUGCUUAUAAAGCAGCCAACAGUGUGCUGUAUAUUUUUCUUUGUUGUGAAGUCAUGUUUUUGAGGUAUAUUGUGAUAAAAAGUGAAACACAAUUGUGUAAAUUUUUUAAAAUAAAUCUUUUUCUACAAGGA
Molecule: RNA transcript, 1584 nt
Organism: Erpetoichthys calabaricus (reedfish)
Lineage: Eukaryota; Metazoa; Chordata; Cladistia; Polypteriformes; Polypteridae
Gene: hnrnpd
Gene name: heterogeneous nuclear ribonucleoprotein D
Exons: 9
Source: RefSeq, a predicted model, not a curated record